RNAcentral lists this ribosomal RNA (497 nucleotides) under uncultured bacterium. Its description in RNAcentral is "partial 16S ribosomal RNA". It matches the Rfam family "Bacterial small subunit ribosomal RNA", at positions 28 to 507 of the family's 1533-position model. The record is from RNAcentral.
GAUGAACGCUGGCGGCGUGCCUAAUACAUGCAAGUCGAGCGAACAGACGAGGAGCUUGCUCCUCUGACGUUAGCGGCGGACGGGUGAGUAACACGUGGAUAACCUACCUAUAAGACUGGGAUAACUUCGGGAAACCGGAGCUAAUACCGGAUAAUAUAUUGAACCGCAUGGUUCAAUAGUGAAAGACGGUUGUGCUGUCACUUAUAGAUGGAUCCGCGCCGCAUUAGCUAGUUGGUAAGGUAACGGCUUACCAAGGCAACGAUGCGUAGCCGACCUGAGAGGGUGAUCGGCCACCCUGGAACUGAGACACGGUCCCGACUCCUGCGGGGGGCCGCAGUCGGGACUCUUCCGCAAUGGGCGAGAGCCUGACGGAGCAACGCCGCGUGAGUGCUGAUGGUCUUCGGCUCCUAAAGCUCUGUUAUUCGGGAAGAUCUAAUGUGUAAGUACCUAUGCUCGUCUUGACGGUACCUGAUCAGAAAGCCCCGGCUAACUCCGUG